UUUAAUGAGAGUUUGAUCCUGGCUCAGGACGAACGCUGGCGGCGUGCCUAAUACAUGCAAGUAGAACGCUGAAGGAGGAGCUUGCUUCUCUGGAUGAGUUGCGAACGGGUGAGUAACGCGUAGGUAACCUGCCUGGUAGCGGGGGAUAACUAUUGGAAACGAUAGCUAAUACCGCAUAAGAGUAGAUGUUGCAUGACAUUUGCUUAAAAGGUGCACUUGCAUCACUACCAGAUGGACCUGCGUUGUAUUAGCUAGUUGGUGGGGUGACGGCUCACCAAGGCGA
RNAcentral lists this ribosomal RNA (283 nucleotides) under Streptococcus pneumoniae. Its description in RNAcentral is "partial 16S ribosomal RNA". It matches the Rfam family "Bacterial small subunit ribosomal RNA", at positions 1 to 276 of the family's 1533-position model. Lineage: Bacteria; Bacillati; Bacillota; Bacilli; Lactobacillales; Streptococcaceae. The record is from RNAcentral.